RNAcentral lists this ribosomal RNA (250 nucleotides) under uncultured bacterium. RNAcentral describes it as "partial 16S ribosomal RNA". It matches the Rfam family "Bacterial small subunit ribosomal RNA", at positions 524 to 773 of the family's 1533-position model. The record is from RNAcentral.
UACGGAGGGUGCAAACGUUGCUCGGAAUCAUUGGGCGUAAAGCGCACGUAGGCGGUUCAGAAAGUCGGGUGUGAAAUCCCUCGGCUUAACCGAGGAAGUGCAUUCGAAACUACUGGACUUGAGUACUGAAGAGGAUCGCGGAAUUCCCGGUGUAGAGGUGAAAUUCGUAGAUAUCGGGAGGAACACCAGUGGCGAAGGCGGCGAUCUGGGCAGAUACUGACGCUGAGGUGCGAAAGCGUGGGGAGCAAAC